RNAcentral lists this ribosomal RNA (398 nucleotides) under uncultured soil bacterium. RNAcentral describes it as "bacterial SSU rRNA". It matches the Rfam family "Bacterial small subunit ribosomal RNA", at positions 26 to 412 of the family's 1533-position model. The record is from RNAcentral.
AGAGUGAACGCUGGCGGUAGGCCUAACACAUGCAAGUCGAACGGCAGCACGGUAAGAGCUUGCUCUUAUGGGUGGCGAGUGGCGGACGGGUGAGGAAUACAUCGGAAUCUACCUUUUGGUGGGGGAUAACGUAGGGAAACUUACGCUAAUACCGCAUACGCCCUUCGGGGGAAAGCCGGGGACCAGCAAUGGCCUGGCGCUGAUAGAUGAGCCGAUGUCGGAUUAGCUAGUUGGUGAGGUAAUGGCUCACCAAGGCGACCGAUCCGUAGCUGGUCUGGAGAGGAUGAGUCAGCCACACUGGAACUGAGACACGUCGACGACUCCGUACGGGAGGCCAGCGAGUAGGGGAAUAGUUAGGACAAGUGGGACGACGAACGCCUAGACGUCCAACGUCCGAA